GUAAUGCAGUAGGAUUUUCAUUCGGUAGCACACUAUUAGCUUAAUACUGAAAAUGUAUCAUAAUUUGAAGAGAAACCGUAAAAAAAAUAAGUAAUAACAACAUGUACAGAGCAACAUCUAGCGGAUGUAGCAACAGUUAAACUUUGAAUAGUAACACGAAAUAGCUAUGGUCGAAACAUUAACUCCACAGACGGUGAUGGUUACUGGUUCAUGGCCGUAUUGAUUCACCCAGAUCAGGAGUUUCCAGUCUUGGGGUUCGAUAUUUGGACAACCGAAUAGACACUUGGACUGAUCGAGGUGUUCAGUUCCCACUCCCAGUUUGUAGGAGGUUAAGUGCAGCUUAAGUCUGGAUGUACAUCACUGUGUAAAUAAUUAUCGAGUAACAAUUUAGAUACAAAUUGGCAUCGGUGUUUCUCGAUUUUUUUCAUAACAGACGCCGAAUAAAGUCGCUCGUGUUUCGCGACUGUUUCGCAAUAGUUGCUAAAAUGUGUCUAGGUGUGGAUUAGGCUUUACGAUUUAAUUCAUAUUUUUCAUAUUGUGGCUGUUUUCCUAUUCAUAUAUAGAUAUAGUUAUAGUUAUACGUGUUUUGUAUGUGUAUUGGGUGGCGGGUCUUGUAGAAUAGGAAAACAAUUUGCUUUCAAAUUCUAUGUUUUAACGGUUUUUUUUUGUGAUAAAACAUAAAAUUCAAAAUUCAAGUGGCAAAUUUUUAAUAGAUAUAAGAGCUCAUUCUUUUAUAUAUCUUUAUCGUCAUCAAUUCCUAUCUGGUGCUCCACAUGUGGUCAAGAGACGGCAAAAUUAUAUAUAUCUGUAACCAUCUAUCUGUAUCUAUGUAUACAUAUGUAUAACUGUC
Penaeus monodon (black tiger shrimp) is the source of this 850-nucleotide long non-coding RNA. RefSeq lists it as uncharacterized. The record is from RefSeq and is a predicted model, not a curated record. Lineage: Eukaryota; Metazoa; Arthropoda; Malacostraca; Decapoda; Penaeidae. The transcript is spliced from 2 exons.